UAUAAUAGAUGACUCUAGUGGAGAAAUUAAGCUCCCAUUAAGUCCCCUAACUAGUAUAAAACACGAUUACUCCCCUUCUUCUUUUUUUGCACAAACAUUAAAACCACUUAACGAAAUGACUUCCUUUUUCUUAUCCUUACUAGUUUUGUUCGUUGGUGUUCUUAUCAUUCUUCCACAAGGUCUUGCUGACGAUUACCUAUUUCAACCAAACGGUAAGGUUCGGAGACCCGCAAUUCCAUUGCCACUGAUGGUAAAACGACCCGUACCAAAACCAAAGUACCUGAAAUCACCAAAUGAAGAACUACCAAUUAGAAAACCACCAAUUAAAAGAACAACCAACUGAAGACCGACCAAUUGAAAAAGAACAAUUACUUUAAAGCUAAUAUCCAUUUUCUAAGGCAUGAGAUACAUUUUGUACAAUGUUUGGCCAAGUUAAUAACAUCGUUUGUGUGGCAUGAAUAAAAUCAUGAUAGAAAAAGUUGUACUCUUUCAUCAAAUUUACAAAUAAAUAAAUGUUAUGAUUUUGAGGUUGUGUUUGUACUGCUUGAUAUGUUAUAUAUGUAAUUUAUGAUCUAAGUACUUUAAUAUAUAAUGUAUAAGCACAAACUUGUAUCGUAUUUUGCUACUAUACCUUUCUAUAAUUAAUAUUAGUUUGACUUUAUAAAAAAAAGAUUUUGAUUAAUAAAAAAAUCAAGGCCUUAUACUAUUAUACACUAUUUUUAAGUUUAGUUUGAGUUUUCUUUUAACUCUAACAAAAAUCCUAGACUAAAUUUUUAUUAGGUUUAAUGUUAAUUAACAACAACAAAAUAAUAAUCUUGGCAUUCAAACUAUUGUCUCUCUAUUCCCUUCUCACACUUCACACUUUGUAACACACCAAUAUUUUCACAUUAUUUUAUAUACCUACACCUAUAUCCUAGUAAUUAUCUAGAACUAUUAUUUAAUAAUUUAUUCUAUGUGAUCAUGAAUUAAAAGAAAAUAUACCAAGUGUGCUAAAAGUAUCUAGAAAAUAUUACUUACGAAUAAUCAAAUUAAAAGUAAUAUUGCAUAAUUAUUGAAAUUGAUAAUUAAGGGUUUUAUAACUAAAUUCAUUUGUUGAUAAGAUAUGUGUACAUUAUGUUUUUAAUUAACAAACGUUAGCUAAUUUAAUUGUUGAAAUUUAAGUGGUUCUUUUAAAAUUAUUGGUUUAGAAUAAUAUUUCAUUCAAACGAUGUUAAAUAGAUUUUAUAGGAUAUAUAUUUGGAAGCUAUUUUGACUAAUUCAACUUAUUAGUUCCAAAUUCUUCUCUCAUUCUUUUUCCAUUAAUUAGUCACGGUAAACUUUAUUUUCACUCUUACUAUUAAUUUUAUUAAUUUUGUUAGUAUUUAAAACACCACCAAUUCAUUAUUUUAAUAAUGAUUUUUAAUUUAGCAUUCACUACUCAGACAUACGUUAUUCAAUCCAUGAAUUCUAAUUAAUACCUUUUAUUUUCUAUCAAGAGUCGGUGACAUGUCUAUUGAAAAUAAACAAACAAAGAAUUUCAUGCCCUCCGGUUACAAAAAACCGAUACCGAUUACAAACUCAUUUUGUUUUCCUAUUCAUUCUCGUCUAUUUUUCACAAAAUAAACUUGUUUCAAACAUGGAUCACCGUGGGAAUCACACCAUAACUACAAUGGAACCACCACUAAGGUGAAAACUAUCUUGACGUCUUUGAUUCUUCAACCUUAACAUCAAUCCUAAAUUUUGACUAAAACUACAAAUUAAAUUUAAUUAUAGUAUAUAUUUUGUUUAAAUAUUCACUAUGUCUAUAACGCUGAUUCCAAUUAGAGAAAUAAUAUAUAUUGAUUGGAAUUUAGUAAAAUUGUUUUAUAUUCUUAAUAGAUACAAUCAUUUUAGAUAUAUUUUUAUAGUAAUUCUAAUUUUGAAAAAUUGAUAUGAUUUUGUAUUAAAAAUUAAAAUUCAGUUUUAUGCUUUGUGCAAAUUUCUUUUGGCCUGCAUUAAACUUUUAAUUUCACGUAGAAAAAGAUAUACCGUAUAUUUCAUUUUAAUUAUAUAAACAACAAUUAUGUAAAAAAAUAGAGGUAUUAUGUAGUAUAUGAUAUUUAACUUUUUUUUUUGUUUAAAGUUGGAUUUAUUCAUAUUCGAUUAGUUGAAAAUAGAUGAUUUGUGCAUAUUAUAAUUUUUUUUUCAUUGUCAAAAGUUUUAAAUAUUGUUAGUUUUAAAUAUAUAAUCGGAUUUAUAUGAACAUCGUUAUUUGUAUAUAAUAAUUGUACAUUAUAUGAUACCUUAUUUUAAGAUUUUAUUUUGAAUUAUAAAUAAUUUAUUUUAUUUGGGUUGCUUGUUGUGUCUCCUAAUCAUUAGUUACAAUAAUCGACAAAAUAAGAUGUAGAAUUGAUAAGAUAUUCAUGAUCGAUGUCGUUGCAGAAUUCCUUAUGCCUCGUCAUGAUGUGCAGAAUCUCCAAUCGAGGUAAAGGGUGAGAGAGCGUUUGAAUUCAUGAAUAUAAUAUAUUGUGAGAGGAACGGAAAAAUCAUAUUUCCCAAUGAUUUAUUCGGGGCCGGAAAAAUCAUAUUUCCCAAUGAUUUAUUCGGGGCUCGCUACGUACGGCAGAAGCCCUCUGAGGAAUAAAUUAAUUAAUUUGAAAAUAUGAAAAUUGUGAGAUUAAAAUAUAGAAUAAAAAUAUUUGUAAGGUGUUGAUUGAUUUAAUUUGUUUCAUUGUGUUAUUGGGUGUCAAAUGAAUUUUAUGUUUAUAUUUGAUUAGAUGAGUUUAUUUGAUGUGAUAAUAAAAGAUGAAUGCAUUGUGAUGAUGAUGAUCAUGAUGAUGUCUGGUUGAUAAUUGUGAUGUUAUAAAUGUGUGAUAAGUUUAUGUGAUGAGGUAUGAUUGAUGUUACGAAGCUAUAAAUUUAUGAUGAGUUUAUGUGAUUAUGAUGAUGUGUGAUUAAUAUUUGUGAUGAUAUAAAUUUGUGAUGAGAAUAUUGAAGUACCAUCAUAGUUGAUGAAAUAAUAGUGAUUCCAAUUUGUGUUUGAGAUAAUAUUCUUAAUGGAGUAUCAUAGGCCAACGACGAGAGGAGAAAAUAAAUAUUGAUAAUUUGUGAAGUGAUGAUUUUUUUGUUAUCAUAUAUAUAUAUAUAUAUAUACCUAGUGAUUCCGGGGAAGUACAACUGAAUGAGCCUAAUCGUGGCGAUCUGUUGUUCAAUUAAAAAAAACUAGAUAAAAAGAGAAAAGAGAAGUCAUUCUCAUUUUUCCAAAAUUAGUCACAGUAGAAUUUCAAUUGUGCAUGUAUUCACUGUUGAAUCUGACUAAACUUUUGAAGCAUGUAUGCAACACAUAAAUCUUUGUAAAUACAAAUUUGAGAUAUAAUAGAUGACUCUAGUGGAGAAAUUAAGCUCCCAUUAAGUCCCCUAACUAGUAUAAAACACGAUUACUCCCCUUCUUCUUUUUUUGCACAAACAUUAAAACCACUUAACGAAAUGACGACUUCCUUUUUCUUAUCCUUACUAGUUUUGUUCGUUGGUGUUCUUAUCAUUCUUCCACAAGGUCUUGCUGACGAUUACCUAUUUCAACCAAACGGUAAGGUUCCGAGACCCGCAAUUCUAUUGCCACUGAUGGUAAAACGACCCGUACCAAAACCAAAAUACCUGAAAUCACCAAAUGAAGAACUACCAAUUAGAAAACCACCAAUUAAAAGAACAACCAACUGAAGACCCACCAAUUGAAAAAGAACAAUUACUUUAAAGCUAAUAUCCAUUUUCUAAGGCAUGAGAUACAUUUUGUACAAUGUUUGGCCAAGUUAAUAACAUCGUUUGUGUGGCAUGAAUAAAACCAUGAUAGAAAAAGUUGUACUCUUUCAUCAAAUUUACAAAUAAAUAAAUGUUAUGAUUUUGAGGUUGUGUUUGUACUGCUUGAUAUGUUAUAUAUGUAAUUUAUGAUCUAAGUAC
RNAcentral lists this long non-coding RNA (3912 nucleotides) under Cicer arietinum (chickpea). RNAcentral's name for it is "long non-coding RNA (CARI_LNC001343)". Lineage: Eukaryota; Viridiplantae; Streptophyta; Magnoliopsida; Fabales; Fabaceae. The record is from RNAcentral.